CGUCUUUGAUUCUUUUCUCUUCGUCCAUCUUCCAGCGUUGGAGCUCCAUCGUCUGCAGCGGAAGUCGUCGUCUGAAAACGAGUCCAGAUUCGGGGAACGGUGAGGGAAGGUUACCUUCUGUUUAGCUGUACAGAUGCAACUAUGGCUUCAGACUACUUCCUUGUAGCGAGUAAAUGCCAUACCAUGUUCUGAGAUGAUGAGCUCUCAUGAGACACGGAGGAGAAUCCAUUGGCGGAUGAGACUGCGCCCACCGACCUGCGUGGUGACUCGAAACUGCGCUCGUAGCUGUCUGAAAGAUUUGACAACCUCGGAGGGUAGGAGCGUUCGCUUGACCUGCCGCUGCUCACGAAUGAGACAUCGCUGUCCGCCAUCGACUCUCCAUAUGAUCUCGUAGUCGAAGCACGUCCUCCCCUGGUAAAAGGGGACCUAAUCGAGGCAGACAUAUCUCGUGUUCAGCAUCAUCUUGUUCACAUAUUCCACGGAGUCAAUGCAGCAUCACUCGGCACCGGACCUCUCGUGCCAUUCUUGGCGUUCUGGCUUAAUGUAUCGGGUUUAACACUUGCUUGGCCUUGGAUUUGAUUCCGGAGAAGAGAGACAGGCGGAGGUGGCCGGACGGCGUUCCUCAUCGAGGAGACCUUCCCCUUGGAGAUGAUGUAGACACUGCAGAAAUCUGGCACACCUUUGCAGAUGGUGGUACUGAGGUCUGUGCUCCUGAAUGAUCUGAGAGGGAAGAUGAUUCGAGUCUCAGAGAUCUUCGAUUAGUCCAAGAAUUGCUCCAGUAAUUUAAGCUCACCUAACGAAUCCGCUUCUUGAUGAUGAUCCAAUCACAAGCUUUUCGACCGCGGCGUUGGUGACGAACUCUGUGAUCGCUUUGGCAACAUCAGUGUCUUCGAGCACCACAUCUUUGCAUUGUACCUAUUAAGGAUUACUCGGAUGCGAACUAUCAGUUUUGAUGACACAAGUAUGAGAUUUCGGAACACGGCGGAUUCAAUUUCAUGAACAUAAUCCACAGUCAACCGGGGGCUGUUCCGAAGAGGAUCAGCAUAAGAACUUGCAUACAUUGUGAAUCUUCUCGGGUCAUCGGGCAACUUCCUUUCACCAGGGGAAAUCUACUCGAAACAUGUUCUUAUCCUAGUUUGAGGAGGAUCGUUGUAUGAUUUUGAGAUGCUGCUUCAGCAAUAGGACAUGGAAUAUAACCUCAAGGUUUCUUAGCAGCAAUUAAAUAUUUUGCUUGCCGGAAAAGGAA
This is a long non-coding RNA of Musa acuminata AAA Group (dessert banana), 1246 nucleotides long. RefSeq lists it as uncharacterized. NCBI's taxonomy places the organism in Eukaryota, Viridiplantae, Streptophyta, Magnoliopsida, Zingiberales, Musaceae. The transcript has 3 exons. The record is from RefSeq and is a predicted model, not a curated record.